RNAcentral lists this ribosomal RNA (253 nucleotides) under uncultured bacterium. Its description in RNAcentral is "partial 16S ribosomal RNA". It matches the Rfam family "Bacterial small subunit ribosomal RNA", at positions 524 to 776 of the family's 1533-position model. The record is from RNAcentral.
UACGUAGGGGGCAAGCGUUAUCCGGAAUUACUGGGUGUAAAGGGUGAGUAGGCGGUAAGGUAAGUCAUAUGUGAAAGCCCAAGGCUUAACCUUGGGACUGCAUAAGAAACUGCCAGACUAGAGUACAGGAGAGAAGAGUGGAAUUCCACGUGUAGCGGUGAAAUGCGUAGAGAUGUGGAGGAACACCAGUGGCGAAGGCGACUCUUUGGCCUGUAACUGACGCUGAGGCGCGAAAGCGUGGGGAGCAAACAGG